ACUCAUCAACCCUGUGAACAUACCUAAAACGUUGCUUCGGCGGGAACAGACGGCCCUGUAACAACGGGCCGCCCCCGCCAGAGGACCCCUAACUCUGUUUUUAUAAUGUUUUUCUGAGUAAACAAGCAAAUAAAUUAAAACUUUCAACAACGGAUCUCUUGGCUCUGGCAUCGAUGAAGAACGCAGCGAAAUGCGAUAAGUAAUGUGAAUUGCAGAAUUCAGUGAAUCAUCGAAUCUUUGAACGCACAUUGCGCCCGCCAGUAUUCUGGCGGGCAUGCCUGUUCGAGCGUCAUUACAACCCUCAGGCCCCCGGGCCUGGCGUUGGGGAUCGGCAGAAGCCCCCUGUGGGCACACGCCGUCCCUCAAAUACAGUGGCGGUCCCGCCGCAGCUUCCAUUGCGUAGUAGCUAACACCUCGCAACUGGAGAGCGGCGCGGCCAUGCCGUAAAACACCCAACUUCUGAAUGUUGACCUCGAAUCAG
Molecule: ribosomal RNA, 481 nt
Filed under: Fusarium sp. Samif10
Lineage: Eukaryota; Fungi; Ascomycota; Sordariomycetes; Hypocreales; Nectriaceae
Description: eukaryotic LSU rRNA
Rfam family: 5.8S ribosomal RNA (bases 139-292)
Source: RNAcentral